Molecule: long non-coding RNA, 1291 nt
Filed under: Setaria viridis
Lineage: Eukaryota; Viridiplantae; Streptophyta; Magnoliopsida; Poales; Poaceae
Description: long non-coding RNA (SVIR_LNC002437)
Source: RNAcentral
ACGCCACACAGCUAGCUCCCGCGCCACAAGCUCUCGCUGCCAUGGCACUCGUCUCCGCCUCCUCCUCCUCCACCACCGCCGUCGCGGCGCUCCCCAGGAACGGGCAGCGCGCGUCGUCCUUCCUCGGCGGCAGGACGCUGCUGAGGCAGGCCGAGGCGGCGCGGCCGUCGUUCGCCGUGCGCGCCGCGGCGGACCCCGACAGGCCCAUCUGGUUCCCCGGCAGCACCCCGCCGCCGUGGCUCGAUGGCAGCCUCCCCGGCGACUUCGGCUUCGAUCCCUGGGGCCUUGGUGAGUUCUGAUCACUGGUCAAUCUAUCUUCUUGUGAACAUGUAAAUAAUUUCUGAGCGAUAUAGCUGACACCUGAUGCAUGUGCUUGCGAUUACUCUGUGCAGGAUCUGACCCGGAGAGCUUGCGGUGGAACGUGCAGGCGGAGCUGGUGCACUGCCGGUGGGCGAUGCUCGGCGCGGCGGGCAUCUUCAUCCCGGAGUUCCUGACCAAGAUCGGCAUCCUCAACACGCCCUUCUGGUACACCGCCGGCGAGCAGCAGUACUUCACCGACACCACCACCCUCUUCAUCAUCGAGCUCAUCCUCAUCGGCUGGGCCGAGGGCCGCCGCUGGGCCGACAUCAUCAAGCCCGGGAGCGUCAACACUGACCCCAUCUUCCCCAGCAACAAGCUCACCGGCACCGACGUCGGGUACCACCUCUCGCUCCGGCCCCAUGCAUGAACACGCAAGAAAACAUUAUUAUAUUCCCAAAGACUCAUCUAGCUGCUAGCAGUCCUCAUAUCCAUGGCUGAUCUCUGUGUGCUGGAAAUGCAUGUAAAAAUUAAGGUACCCUGGUGGCCUGUGGUUUGACCCGCUCGGCUGGGGCAGCGGCUCGCCGGAGAAGAUCAAGGAGCUGCGCACCAAGGAGAUCAAGAACGGCCGCCUCGCCAUGCUCGCCGUCAUGGGCGCCUGGUUUCAGGCCGAGUACACCGGCACCGGCCCCAUCGACAACCUCUUCGCCCACCUCGCCGACCCCGGCCACGCCACCAUCUUCCAGGUCAGCUGAGAUCAAACUGCACAUACCUCACAGCUUCGAUCUAUACGGUUUGGUUACUGAUUAGUGAACUUUUGUUGUGUUCUUGAUCAGGCCUUCACCCCCAAAUGAGGAGUUGGAGUUAGCGAUCUGAGUGCUGCGUGCUAUACCACGCAUGCAUGAGGUGGAGAUUGUUAUAGGUUGAUGGUCGAUGCGACUUUUUCCUUUUUGUGGGACGGAAUAGACUGUGAUGAUUCAAUGGCUUGUGUGGA